AACGGCCAUAUCAUGCUGAAUAUACCGGUUCUCGUUAGAUCACCGAAGUCAAGCAUCAUUGGGCGCGGUCAGUACUUGGGUGGGUGACCACCUGGGAACACCGCGUGCCGUU
Molecule: ribosomal RNA, 112 nt
Filed under: Caerostris darwini
Lineage: Eukaryota; Metazoa; Arthropoda; Arachnida; Araneae; Araneidae
Source: RNAcentral